This 497-nucleotide ribosomal RNA is filed under the name uncultured bacterium. Its description in RNAcentral is "partial 16S ribosomal RNA". It matches the Rfam family "Bacterial small subunit ribosomal RNA", at positions 28 to 507 of the family's 1533-position model. The record is from RNAcentral.
GAUGAACGCUGGCGGCGUGCCUAAUACAUGCAAGUCGAGCGAACAGAUGAGGAGCUUGCUCCUCUGACGUUAGCGGCGGACGGGUGAGUAACACGUGGAUAACCGACCUAUAAGACUGGGAUAACUUCGGGAAACCGGAGCUAAUACCGGAUAAUAUAUUGAACCGCAUGGUUCAAUAGUGAAAGACGGUUUUGCUGUCACUUAUAGAUGGAUCCGCGCCGCAUUAGCUAGUUGGUAAGGUAACGGCUUACCAAGGCAACGAUGCGUAGCCGACCUGAGAGGGUGAUCGGCCACACUGGAACUGAGACACGGUCCAGACUCCUACGGGAGGCAGCAGUAGGGAAUCUUCCGCAAUGGGCGAAAGCCUGACGGAGCCACGCCGCGUGAGUGAUGAAGGUCUUCGGAUCGUAAAACUCUGUUAUUAGGGAAGAACAAAUGUGUAAGUAACUAUGCACGUCUUGACGGUACCUAAUCAGAAAGCCACGGCUAACUACGUG